This 439-nucleotide ribosomal RNA is filed under the name uncultured bacterium. RNAcentral's name for it is "bacterial SSU rRNA". It matches the Rfam family "Bacterial small subunit ribosomal RNA", at positions 60 to 496 of the family's 1533-position model. The record is from RNAcentral.
AGUCGAGGGGCAGCAUUUACUUCGGUAAAUGGCGACCGGCGCACGGGUGAGUAACGCGUAUGCAACCUACCUUUAACUGGGGCAUAGCUCGAGGAAACUCGAAUUAAUUCCCCAUAGUACAUUAUAAUAUCUCAUGAUAUAAAUAUUAAAGAUUUAUCGGUUAAAGAUGGGCAUGCGUCUGAUUAGUUUGUUGGUAAGGUAACGGCUUACCAAGACUACGAUCAGUAGGGGGUCUGAGAGGAUGAUCCCCCACACUGGUACUGAGACACGGACCAGACAUCUACGGAUGGCAGCAGUAAGGAAUAUUGGGCAAUGGGCGCAAGCCUGACCCAGCCAUGCCGCGUGCAGGAUGACGACCCUAUGGGUUGUAAACUGCUUUUAUAUAGGAAGAAAAUACUCUUGCGAGAGGAUCUGACGGUACUAUAUGAAUAAGGACCGG